ACAACUCUUAAUAAUCGUAAAAAAAUUGGAAAUUUUAUUUAAUAUAAAAAUAUUAUUAAUUAUUAAAUAAAUUUUCUAAUUUUUUUUUUACAAUUAUUAAGGGGAGGAUCUCAUUGAAACCUACCAAAUGUUGAAAGGACUAUAUAAGGUGGAUGUUCCCAAUGGUGGGGGUAUCCAGAACUAGCGGGCACAGCCUAAAAAUUGACUGGUGGCAUUUUAGAACAGAGGUAAGGAGGAAUUUUUUUAGCCUGAGAGCAGCGAAUCUGUGGAAUGCUCUGCCACAUACUGUGAUGGAGGUCAAGUCCGUUGGCAUAUUUAAAGUGGAAGUUGAUAGUUUCCUGAUUGGUGAGGGCAUCAAAGGAUAUGGCAAGAAGGCAAGUAUAGGGGUUGAGUGGGAUCCAGAAUCAGCUUUGAUGGAAUGGUGGAGGAGACUGGAUGGGCUGAAUGGCCUGAUUCUGCUCCCAUGUCCGAUGGUCUAAGAUGCACAAAAUACUGGAGGAACUCAGCAGACCAGGCAGCAUCUGAGGAAAAGAGUAAACAGCUGAUGUUUCGGGCUGAGACCCUUCAUCAGGAGGUAAAAUUCAUCUGAAGAUAAAAUUGAAGUCGUAUUUCCUUUACUAAGGCGAAACAAAUUUUACAAGACGAAGCAGUGGGUUACGGAAAAUGAAUAGGAAGCAGUUAAUUGAAUGGGUGUUGGAGCACUGGGAGGCAGAGGGAACAGGUCCAGGAUAAAGAUGUUCAACCAAAGAGACCUGGACGACAAGAGGCAGAGUGGAUGGAAGAAAGUGAAGGUGGGAAGGUUGUAUUAGAGACUGAAUGCUCAAUAUUGCAGGAUGCCUGUAGGGGUUUAGAAAGUGUCAGGGUAAAAUUUAAAGGGAAAUUUGGAAAGUACUGAGAGUGUGAAAGUAUAAUGGCAAGCAAAAAUAAGGAUCUUUUGAGAUUACACAAAGAGCAAGAGGAGUCAGGUGGGACUGAGACACUGACCUAUGUGUGGAGGGGGAGGUAGAUAUGAGGAAGAUGGAUAAUGAAAAUUCUGCAGCUAUCUUCACAGAAUAUUGUCAAUACAGUUGAGGAACGUAGUGUGAAAUACAGAUACAGCAAAGUGAGGUAUUGUGAUUUCACGCCUUUGAAAGUAUAUAAACAUUCUGGAGACUAAAGACAUUGGAGAAAUUGGAACAGAACAGUCAAAUAUCUGGAGAUACUUUAGCAGAUUAGGUGCCAUCUGCGGAGGCAGGGAGAUGCUGGAUGUGUUGGAUCUGAACCCCUUGUGAGGACUGUGUGUGUAGAUAGCCAGUAUGCACAGGGCAGGGGUGAGGUAGGAGACGUCAGGUGGUAGUGGUAAGAUGGCUUGACUGGUAAAUGUGUUCAGGUGGUAGGUGGAGGCAACAAAGGACUGUACAUUAUGGAAUGUGAUUUAAAAAGGAAGUAAAUGGAGGAAUGGUAACAGUAGGAGUGGAGAUGAGGAAUCAGUGGGCUAGGUGUAUGGGUAAUGGGCAGAUGGAACCAAGUAGCGGAGGGUGUGGAGAGGUUGGGGGUUGAAAAGAAGUGUGUGUAGAGGACUUGGCUUGAUCAGGAGAGAGAAAAGAACUGAUUACCUGAAAUUGGAAAAGGGUGUUCAUGCCACUCAGUUGUUUACAUUUACAUUUCCCCCCACCCUCAACCAAGAGCUCAAGAUGGUAAGUGCAGAAAAACUUGGCAAAGCUGUCACUUAAUCUGUGUUUGAUCUUGUUGAUUUGGACCAGGUCGCAUCACUGGCAAGGGCUUUGUUACGUACUUGGAUGACGGUGAGGAGGAAGUGUAGGGGCAGGUAUUGCACCUCAGUCUGCAGGGGAAGAUGACGGAGGAUUGCGAAGAAUGAGCAAAGCAGAGAAUCGCUGAAAGGGUGGUCCUCAUGGACAGCAGAGAGGGAGGGGAACAUGCAGCUGGUGUUGGGAUCACAUUGCAACUGACGGAAAUGAUGGAGCCUUUUCUGCUUGCCUUGAAAGUGAGAAUAAAACUACAGCUAUGAGGACUCCUGCAGCACCCAGUGGCCCUGUCAUCUCUGCCUCAGAAGCUGACGUCAGGCUGCCUUUCAAGAGGGUGAACCCUCGCAAGGCGACGUCGAUGCAGUACCCGGAGGUGCUGACUCAAGAAGGUAAAAUCUAUCAUCAAAGAUCUCCACAACCCUGGUCAUGCCAUCUUCCCGCAGCUACCAUUAAACAGGAGGAACAGAAUCCUAAAGUCCACACAGCCAUGUUCAAGAACAGCAAUUUCCCUUCAACAAUUCAGUCCUAGGCCAACCUUCAUCACUGCAUCAUUACAGCAACAGUAUGGCCUCUGGUGAAUCCCACUGUUAAUUGUCAUUUUCUUUUCCGUUCAACAAUUACCUACUUGUAUUUUAUAUAAAUACUUUUAUCCCAGUAAUUACUUACUAUGAUCCCUCGUGCCUAUAGUAUGCCUCCACAUGGCUAUACAAAGUGUAUCUAGAAGCUUUGUACUGUAUUAAGUAAGUGCUUUUUAUUGGUUGAUUUUUACCUGCAGUAUUGACUAAGUGCUUUCUAAUUAUUAUUUUUACAUUAUAAUGGAAUAUUUCUUAUCUCUAUGUGUAUAGCUGUUUCUUUUGGUUAGGUGUCACAUUCUUGAAUCUUAGCUAUCCCUGUUACUGUCUGUUCAGUUUCCUUCUGUUUUAUGAACUCUUAAUAAAACAAUCAUGAACAACAAGUUUUAUGUCUCUAAGACAACAGGGGAAUUUUUAAGUGCACAACAAAAGUGAUAAGAAUUUCCUCCCUUCCUCUGUUGUCUGAGGGAACCCCAAUCAAGAAUGGCCUAGUACAAGAACUUACGGAUGUGAACAACUGCCAGCAGAAGUUGUAUUAAAAUGUAAACUCCACUCAAAACGACUACAAUGCAAAGCUGAGGAAAUUCAUUCACAGGUGAAAUUACAACACAGGCAGCACAGGACGCUGAUCAAGUACCAAAAACAGUGAACCCGAAAAUUGGAGUUACGAAAACAAAGUUAAAGUCUGUAUCACAGAUGAACCUGCAAGAUAUCCGACGGGAAAACUGGUUCCAGAUGGAGGAUUGUGGGAAAGUAAAUGGUGAUGGAGUAUGGGGAUAUGGCAAGUCAUUGACUGCUCCCAGAGCCAUCAGGACAAGUCGAACAAAUGAACGGACGCACUAAACAACAAACGAGAAAGUACCACGGUCAGCGGCUUUUCCCAUGGUCUUGUGCAGAGGAACCCAAACAAGAAAACUAAACUAAGUCCAUACGAGGUGGUAGCAGGACUAGGAGCCCUCAAACUCAGAGAGGGUGACACACACACUAUGGCAGGCUGUCCAGUCUGCUUCUCAACAGGUUUCUGCCACUUGGGAAGAACCAACAGGAGGCCACACCCUGAUACCUGGUGAGUGGGUCCUGAUAACAUACCCAAUUUGGCUGAUCAUACCCGUAAAGAAGCAGCUGAGACACAUGAAUCUGAUGGAUGGGAUUUCUUUGAUUGGAUUCAUUCGAGUCUCAAAAGCUGGGAUUACUCAAUAUUACAAAUCAUAGUAUUCAUAGUAGGCCUUUCCAUAACUUACAUCUUUUUUUUCUUGUUUAAAGGCAACUCUUAACAGAAUAGGUCUAACUCGUGUAAAUGUGCCUACUAAUCUGCCUAAACAUGACAUAAUCUUAUGAAUAAUUUGAAGUAAACUUUCUGAUAUUUCAUAAUUUAAGCUUUUUGAUUAUUUAUACGUAGCGUAGAUAACAAGUAUUUUUUGCCUCUUUCAGGUGUAAUAAUUCUAAACAUGUGAUUUAGAAUUAAAGCUGGGAUUGUUGGAUCUGACUUUUUAAUUGUCAUUUUCCUUGCAGUUCAACGUGCUUGUAUUUUAUAUAAAUACUUAUAUAAAACUAUCUGCUUACUAUCAUUGCUGGUGGCUAUAGUGUAUAAGAUGGCUAUACAAAGUAUAAUGCUGGAAGCUUUGUACGGCAUUAAGUGAAUGUUUUUUUCAUUGGUUAAU
Molecule: long non-coding RNA, 3978 nt
Organism: Hypanus sabinus (Atlantic stingray)
Lineage: Eukaryota; Metazoa; Chordata; Chondrichthyes; Myliobatiformes; Dasyatidae
Exons: 3
Source: RefSeq, a predicted model, not a curated record